AACGCACGAGACCUGCGGACCUGCGGAAGGAUCAUUAACGAGUUGGAAAACGGAAGUUGAUGCUGGUGCAUAUAUCUUUUUUGUAUGUACAUGUGCUCGCCUCCGCUCUCAUCAUCCACUCAACCCCUGUGCACUUUAUCAGAGUUAGUAGUAGUAGUAGUAAUUGUGGUAGCCAUUUGUUAUAUUCAUUGUUAGAGAGGGAGGAGGGUAAUCCGCCUACCGCUUCUGACAGUCGCAAUA
This 240-nucleotide unclassified non-coding RNA is filed under the name soil metagenome. Its description in RNAcentral is "partial contains 5.8S ribosomal RNA, internal transcribed spacer 2, and large subunit ribosomal RNA". The record is from RNAcentral.